Molecule: non-coding RNA, 221 nt
Filed under: Flavobacteriaceae bacterium
Lineage: Bacteria; Pseudomonadati; Bacteroidota; Flavobacteriia; Flavobacteriales; Flavobacteriaceae
Also listed under: 1 other name
Source: RNAcentral
GUUUUGCCCGGAUUUUUUGGUUCAGUUGUCUAGUGCAAUUGAUUAAAAGGGAAUCUGGUGCAACUCCAGAACUGUUCCCGCAACUGUAAGUUUAUACCAAACUAGAGUUUGGUUCCCAAAAAGGGAUGCUGUUUUCUACAAAACCACUGUCCGGUUUUUAGGAUGGGAAGGUAAAAUAGCAUAAAACAAGUCAGGAGACCUGCCAAAAUUCAUUAAUUAAA